Molecule: ribosomal RNA, 77 nt
Filed under: Bacillus cereus
Lineage: Bacteria; Bacillati; Bacillota; Bacilli; Caryophanales; Bacillaceae
Also listed under: 6 other names
Source: RNAcentral
UUUGGUGAUGAUGGCAGAGAGGUCACACCCGUUCCCAUACCGAACACGGAAGUUAAGCUCUCUAGCGCCGAUGGUAG